Molecule: ribosomal RNA, 262 nt
Filed under: uncultured bacterium
Lineage: Bacteria
Description: partial 16S ribosomal RNA
Rfam family: Bacterial small subunit ribosomal RNA
Source: RNAcentral
ACGAGUGGCGGACGGGUGGGGUAAUGUCUGGGAAACUGCCUGAUGGAGGGGGAUAACUACUGGAAACGGUAGCUAAUACCGCAUAACGUCGCAAGACCAAAGAGGGGGACCUUCGGGCCUCUUGCCAUCGGAUGUGCCCAGAUGGGAUUAGCUUGUUGGUGGGGUAACGGCUCACCAAGGCGACGAUCCCUAGCUGGUCUGAGAGGAUGACCAGCCACACUGGAACUGAGACACGGUCCAGACUCCUACGGGAGGCAGCAUG